GAUGAAGAACGCAGCGAAAUGCGAUAAGUAGUGUGAAUUGCAGAAUUCAGUGAAUCGUCGAAUCUUUGAACGCACAUUGCGCCCUUUGGUAUUCCAAAGGGCAUGCCUGUUCGAGCGUCAUUUGUACCCUCAAGCUUUGCUUGGUGUUGGGCGUCUUGUCUCUAGCUUUGCUGGAGACUCGCCUUAAAGUAAUUGGCAGCCGGCCUACUGGUUUCGGAGCGCAGCACAAGUCGCACUCUCUAUCAGCAAAGGUCUAGCAUCCAUUAAGCCUUUUUUUCAACUUUUGACCUCGGAUCAGGUAGGGAUACCCGCUGAACUUAAGCAUAUCAAUAAGCGGAGGA
RNAcentral lists this unclassified non-coding RNA (341 nucleotides) under soil metagenome. Its description in RNAcentral is "partial contains 5.8S ribosomal RNA, internal transcribed spacer 2, and large subunit ribosomal RNA". The stretch from base 1 to 120 matches the Rfam family "5.8S ribosomal RNA", at positions 35 to 154 of the family's 154-position model. The record is from RNAcentral.